This 161-nucleotide non-coding RNA is filed under the name uncultured Fusicatenibacter sp. The record is from RNAcentral. Lineage: Bacteria; Bacillati; Bacillota; Clostridia; Lachnospirales; Lachnospiraceae.
GUUGGUGCCGCAGGCAAUGCGCUGCGGAGAAUAGGGAAACAGGUGAAAGGCCUGUGCGAUCUCGUCACUGUAUACAGUAGUGUGCCACAAAAUAUGUCACUGAGAAAUCGGGAAGGCUGUGGUACGCGCGAUCCUGUGAGCCAGGAGACCUGCCAGCUGUG